GAUGAACGCUGGCGGCGUGCCUAAUACAUGCAAGUCGAGCGAACAGACGAGGAGCUUGCUCCUCUGACGUUAGCGGCGGACGGGUGAGUAACACGUGGAUAACCUACCUAUAAGACUUGGAUAACUUCGGGAAACCGGAGCUACUACCGGAUAAUAUAUUGAACCGCAUGGUUCAAUAGUGAAAGACGGCUUUGCUGUCACUUAUAGAUGGAUCCGCGCCGCAUUAGCUAGUUGGUAAGGUAACGGCUUACCAAGGCAACGAUGCGUAGCCGACCUGAGAGGAUGAUCGGCCACACUGGAACUGAGACACGGUCCAGACUCCUACGGGAGGCAGCAGUAGGGAAUCUUCCGCAAUGGGCGAAAGCCUGACGGAGCCACGCCGCGUGAGUGAUGAAGGUCUUCGGAUCGUAAAACUCUGUUAUUAGGGAAGAACAGAUGUGUAAGUAACUAUGCACGUCUUGACGGUACCUAAUCAGAAAGCCACGGCUAACUACGUG
RNAcentral lists this ribosomal RNA (497 nucleotides) under uncultured bacterium. RNAcentral describes it as "partial 16S ribosomal RNA". It matches the Rfam family "Bacterial small subunit ribosomal RNA", at positions 28 to 507 of the family's 1533-position model. The record is from RNAcentral.